Molecule: long non-coding RNA, 579 nt
Organism: Benincasa hispida (wax gourd)
Lineage: Eukaryota; Viridiplantae; Streptophyta; Magnoliopsida; Cucurbitales; Cucurbitaceae
Source: RefSeq, a predicted model, not a curated record
GGAAAAUCUUGUAAUCGGGUACGAGUGGUUCGCUUGCAGACCAAUCUGAAAUGAUAAGUUGGAGCAACACCUCUCUAAUAUCAUAAAAGAUGUAUCUUCAUGGCAAAGUCCUUGUAGCUCUUGAUGGCUCUCUCUUUGGCUAUGAUCUUGGAGUUUCUGGGAUUAUUGUUACAAAAAAUGUAUACAUCUUUUCUUACAAUUCCUUGAGGUCAGCAACUAGGAAUUUUCAUCCAUCAAGCAAAAUAGGUGCUAGAGGCUAUGGAGUUGUCUACAAAGUGAGACCAAUGUUGUUAUUCUUAUGAAUCUCUCAUGUAAUUUCUUCCCUAAAGGUACCUUUCCCAUAUUAAUUCUGAUGCAUUUUCAUCUGCCAUUGAUAUGAUGAAAAUGUAAUAAUGGAAUAUCCCUUGUUUAAGGAUUGUAUUGACCUCAAUCUAUGUUUCAAAUGUCUUGUAUUCUUGUAUCAUUCUUAACUGAAUAUUUUGUAUUAUAUGUUGAAGUGAGGAUAGUAGUUCUUCCCUCAAUUCGGAAGUUGGGUGAAACAAUCUUGUUCUUCUCAUUAUUCUUGAAUCUUGAUGAUUU